This 434-nucleotide ribosomal RNA is filed under the name uncultured Oscillospiraceae bacterium. Its description in RNAcentral is "bacterial SSU rRNA". It matches the Rfam family "Bacterial small subunit ribosomal RNA", at positions 341 to 792 of the family's 1533-position model. The record is from RNAcentral. Lineage: Bacteria; Bacillati; Bacillota; Clostridia; Eubacteriales; Oscillospiraceae.
ACGGAAGGCAGCAGUGGGGAAUAUUGGGCAAUGGGCGAAAGCCUGACCCAGCAACGCCGCGUGAAGGAAGAAGGUCUUCGGAUUGUAAACUUUUGUCUUAUGGGACGAUAAUGACGGUACCAUAGGAGGAAGCCACGACUAACUACGUGCCAGCAGUCGCGGUAAUACGUAGGUGGCGAGCGUUAUCCGGAAUUAUUGGGUGUAAAGGGUGCGUAGGCGGGAUGUAAAGUCAGAUGUGAAAUGCAAAGGCUCAACCUUUGAACUGCAUUUGAAACUUACAUUCUUGAGUGGAGUAGAGGCAAGCGGAAUUCCCGGUGUAGCGGUGAAAUGCAUAGAUAUCGGGAGGAACACCGGUGGCGAAGGCGGCUUGCUGGGCUUUUACUGACGCUGAGGCACGAAAGUGUGGGGAGCAAACAGGAUUAGAUACCCUGGUA